CAGGGAGACAACACAAUGAUUUUGAUGCCUGAGUGCUUUUAUUCUUAGGCCGAAAUCCUGUCACCUUAGGUCGAUCGGUACCUCAGCUUUGAAGUCAAGAAUGAGCAGCAAUGUUGAUUGCUUGAUGGAGAUUUUCAGUUCCUAAACUUUGUCUAGGUCACACCCCAAAAGGGAUGAGACUCCUGGGCCAUUAGCUCAGGUGGUUAGAGCGCACCCCUGAUAAGGGUGAGGUCCCUGGUUCAAGUCCAGGAUGGCCCAUUCGGUGUUGGGGGUUUAGCUCAGUUGGUAGAGCGCCUGCUUUGCAAGCAGGAUGUCAGGAGUUCGAGUCUCCUAACCUCCACUGACCGAACUUUUUCCCCAUCUCCAAAUCGUUGGAGUUGAGCUCGAUUGGCGUGUGAUUUAGAUGUGUCCGCUGGAUGACCCCAGCUUCCUGUCAUUCCAAGUUUUAAGUUGAAAGCUUUGAAUUUGGUUGAUAAGAUGCUGGGCUCGAACUGAGCAAUCAGUUUGAAGUUCUAGCAGAACCUUGACAACUGCAUAGGUGAAGUCUGGAAAAAACAAAGCAUCUUACAGAUGCAUUGUUUUGAAUCUGAUCUUUCGAAAGGAAGAUUGGAUCUAGAACAAUGAAAAUUCUUUUGAGCAGAGCCGAGACUCUUGAACGUUCUUUGAUUCGUGUCGAGCGAAUCAGAGUUUGAUCUUGUUUUUAGCAAUAAAACUUGAGAAUCUGCUUUCAACGGCGGUAAGCGUUCAGGAGGUUAUUGG
RNAcentral lists this transfer RNA (759 nucleotides) under uncultured Synechococcus sp. RNAcentral describes it as "16S-23S ribosomal RNA intergenic spacer". The stretch from base 268 to 340 matches the Rfam family "tRNA". Lineage: Bacteria; Bacillati; Cyanobacteriota; Cyanophyceae; Synechococcales; Synechococcaceae. The record is from RNAcentral.